CCUACGAGAGGCAGCAGUGAGGAAUAUUGGUCAAUGGGCGCUAGGCUGAACCAGCCAAGUAGCGUGAAGGAAGACUGCCCUACGGGUUGUAAACCUCUUUUGUAGGGGAGUAAAGUGCAUCAUGUAUAAUUCAUUGAGUGUACCCGAAGAAUAAGGAUCGGCUAACUCCGUGCCAGCAGCCGCGGUAAUACGGAGGAUUCGAGCGUUAUCCGGAUUUAUUGGGUUUAAAGGGGGCGUAGGCGGGUUGGUAAGUCAGGCGUGAAAGUUGCGGGCUCAACCCUCGUACUGCAGUUGAGACUGGAACCCUUGAGUGCGGUAGAGGUAGGCAGAAUUCGUGGUGUAGCGGUGAAAUGCUUAGAUAUCACGCAGAACUCCGAUUGCGAAGGCAGCAUACCGGCCUGCAACUGACGCUGAUGCUCGAAAGUGUGGGUAUCGAACAGGAUUAGAUACCCGAGUAGUC
Molecule: ribosomal RNA, 460 nt
Filed under: uncultured bacterium
Lineage: Bacteria
Description: partial 16S ribosomal RNA
Rfam family: Bacterial small subunit ribosomal RNA
Source: RNAcentral